UCCAUCAAUUGGUUUUGCAUUAUCAAAACGAACUCUCAUAUUGGGUCUCAAUACUCUCAAGUUGCUAUUGUGUGUGUCUGUGUUUGUGUUUGUGUUUGUGUGGAGAAAUCGAAGAUGGCUGACAAAUCCCAGACUCAGAACCUCAGCCAGCAAGGUGGCGAGGCCAAGGCCCACGCUCAGAUGAGCAAGGACCAGAUGAUGGAUAAGGCAACCGAUUCUGUCAAUUCUGCCAAGCAAUCAUGUGAAGAGACUUGUCAGCAAAUGAAAUCCAAGGCGGAAGGAGCCACAGAAUCUGUCAAGAACGCAAUGGGCAUGAACAAAUGAAAAUUAUAAUCUCUCUCAUUUUGUUUAUCCUUUUUUUUUGUGCUUUAAUUGAAGAAUCGCUGAUUAUUGUUCUCGUCCUUUCAACAAUGAUGUGUGCUCCCAAAAAACAGAUGGAGCUGUAAGAUCGAACCUCAAUCAAUAAAGUUCUCUAGCAGCAACGGAUUCUUCUA
Molecule: long non-coding RNA, 494 nt
Organism: Macadamia integrifolia
Lineage: Eukaryota; Viridiplantae; Streptophyta; Magnoliopsida; Proteales; Proteaceae
Exons: 3
Source: RefSeq, a predicted model, not a curated record